GACGAACGCUGGCGGCGUGCUUAACACAUGCAAGUCGAGCGGUAAGGCCCUUUCGGGGUACGACGAGCGGCGAACGGGUGAGUAACACGUGGGUGACCUGCCCUCAGCUCUGGGAUAAGCCUGGGAAACCGGGUCUAAUACUGGAUAUGACUCCAUGACGCAUGUUGGUGGGGUGGAAAGCCUUGUGCGGCUGAGGAUGGGCCCGCGGCCUAUCAGCUU
This 219-nucleotide ribosomal RNA is filed under the name uncultured bacterium. RNAcentral describes it as "partial 16S ribosomal RNA". It matches the Rfam family "Bacterial small subunit ribosomal RNA", at positions 28 to 247 of the family's 1533-position model. The record is from RNAcentral.